CCUACGGGAGGCAGCAGUGGGGGAUAUUGCACAAUGGGGGAAACCCUGAUGCAGCGACGCCGCGUGAGUGAAGAAGUAUUUCGGUAUGUAAAGCUCUAUCAGCAGGGAAGAAAAUGACAGUACCUGACCAAGAAGCCCCGGCUAACUACGUGCCAGCAGCCGCGGUAAUACGUAGGGGGCAAGCGUUAUCCGGAUUUCCUGGGUGGAAAGGGUGAGUAGACGGUGAUGUAAGUAUGGAGUGAAAGCCCGGGGCCCAACCCCGGGACUGCUUUGGAUACUGUGUAACUGGAGUAAAGGAGGGGCAGGUGGAAUUACGGGUGUAGCGGUGAAAUGCGUAGAUAUCAGGAGGAACACCAGCGGCGAAGGCGGCCUGCUGGACGGAAACUGACGUUGAGGCUCGAAAGCGUGGGGAGCAAACAGGAUUAGAUACCCGAGUAGUC
This 440-nucleotide ribosomal RNA is filed under the name uncultured bacterium. RNAcentral describes it as "partial 16S ribosomal RNA". It matches the Rfam family "Bacterial small subunit ribosomal RNA", at positions 338 to 795 of the family's 1533-position model. The record is from RNAcentral.